GUUUGGCGUUGCAGCUGUGUGGGCGCUGGUGCGUGCGAGUAGCGCUCGAAGAAACCCAAAGGCGUCGUGGGGCUGCCGUGUGCCCCAGAGAGCACUGCAGGCCGGGUAGGGGCUAAGGCUCCCCGCAGUCUUCUGUGUGUCGUCCAGUACGCAGUUGAAAUCGUUCUCCAACCUGGCCAGUCCUCCGAGGCCCUUCUCAGGCGACCAGACUCUGUUAACAGAGUCCAUUGCUAAAACUCCUCGUUAGUAUUUACCACUCCUCCAGUCUGUGUUUUGAAGCAGUGGUUUUCAACCACUGCCCGUUUUCAGAAGAAAUCAUCUCAAGCGUCCGUGUGCUGCUAGAAGCCGGGCCGGGAGGUCUUGGUGCCGGACUCCACCCUGCAGCCCUUCCCUUUCGCCACCGCCCUGUGCUUAGAGAAACCUUAGAGUGGAGCAAUGAGUCGCCCUUGACUGAGUAACUCUUCGGGGUCAACUUCUCCUUCCACGCCAAGGAAAGGAUUCCAGGGCGAUGUUUCUGGAAAUAGAGAUCUGACCAAGCCACUGCUCUGGUGAAAAUUCAGUGGGUCCCUAGCACCUAGUGCAGCGGCUCCUAGCCUGAGUAUUGCCGUCUUUCGGUGGGGAGGGGUUGGGUUUUUUUGUAGCAUCUGUUGAUCUGAUCUCCAACAUCCUCCACGUCAAUUCCCACUCCACCCACAUCCCUUAUCCUAUACGUAAGCUUUCCAGCCACGGUGCUGGCUUGGGUGGGGGUGCGUGCGGUGCUGACACCAAAAUGGAGGUCCCGUGUUUCUGAGAGUCUCUUUCAGAGCAAUGCAAACCUGAAACUACUCCUGCCAAGAAACGAUUGCAGCUCUUCCCGGAAAAGUUAAAGCCUUUGAGAAACAAAGCUGAGGUUGAAAGUAUUAGUCCAUUUUAUAGAUGAAGAAAUGGAGGCCCAGAGAGAUCACGUGACUUAGCCAAGUCCACCAAUAAGAAGGAGAACUAAGAAAGAGACUGAAGCAUGGUCUGUGGAGAAGGCACUUGUGCAAACACCAGGAGAAUGAGGGGCCUGAGUUGUCUUCGUUUCUCCUAAAAGCAUGCAUUCCCGGCUGGGCGCGGUGACUCAUGCGUGUAAUCCCGCCACUUUAGAAGGCUGAGGCAGGCGGAUCACCUGAGAUCGGGAGUUCGAGACCAGCCCGACCAACAUGGAGAAACCCCAUCUCUAUUAAAAAUACAAAAUUACCCAGGCAUGGUGGCACAUGCCUGUAAUCCCAGCUACUUGGGAGGCGAAGGCAGGAGAAUUGCUUGAACCCAGAAGGCGGAAGCUGCAGAGAGCCGAGAUUUCGCCAUUGUACUCCAGCCUGGGCAACAAGAGUGAAACUCCAUCUCAAAAAACAAACAAACAAACACACAAACAAACAAACAAACACAUUCCCUCCCAGGCCACCCAAGUGAGGGCAUGAAGCACAGCGUGUGUGUGUGUGUGUGUGUGUGUGUGUGCACGCGUGUGUGCAUAUGUGUGUUUGUGUGUUGCAGGGGUUACAGUGGACAGGAUGUGGGAGGGCAGCUGCAGCUCCAAGCUGCAAGUCUUUCUGAUAGAAUGCUUAAAACUCCUUGGACCACAGCAAGAGAGUGUUUUCAUUUGCACCCAUUUUUAUUAGCGUUUGAACCUGUACUUUUUGUAGCAUGUAAACCUUAAGCUGCUUAACUAUUCCUUGAAGCAUUUACACCAGCGGUUCCCAACCUUUUUGCUACCUGAGACCAGUUUUCUUGAAGACAAUUCUUCCACGGACCCGGGAGAAGGGGAAGGGAUGAUGUGGAGAUGAUUCAAGCCCAUUACAUUUAUUGUGUGCUUCAUUUCUAUUAUUUCACUGUAAUAUAUAAUGAAAUAAUUAC
RNAcentral lists this long non-coding RNA (1872 nucleotides) under Homo sapiens (human). RNAcentral's name for it is "uncharacterized LOC100996660, transcript variant 7 (LOC100996660)". The record is from RNAcentral. Lineage: Eukaryota; Metazoa; Chordata; Mammalia; Primates; Hominidae.